CUCGCCUCUUUGAAGUCGGAAUCGCUAGUAAUCGCAGAUCAGCAUGUUGCGGUGAAUACGUUUCCUGGUCUUGUACACACCGCCCGUCAAACCAUGAGAGUCGCCAACACCCGAAGUCCGCUUUGCGGCCUAAGGUGGGGGAGAUGAUUGGGGUUAAGUCGUAACAAGGUAGC
This 173-nucleotide ribosomal RNA is filed under the name uncultured bacterium. RNAcentral describes it as "partial 16S ribosomal RNA". It matches the Rfam family "Bacterial small subunit ribosomal RNA", at positions 1311 to 1500 of the family's 1533-position model. The record is from RNAcentral.